GUGCAAUGUCAAUCAGCAGUGGCCAAGGCCAGUAAGGUAUUGUCAUGCAUGAAAAAGGGCAUUCAUUCUCGGGGCGAGAAUAUCAUUUUGCCUCUUUAUAAAUCACUGGUAAGACCCCAUAUUGAAUAUGCUGUGCAAUUUUGGGCACCUGUUCUAAAGAAGGAUAUUAUGGAACUAGAAAAAGUGCAGAGGCAGGCUACAAAAUUAAUAAAAGGAAUGGAAC
Molecule: non-coding RNA, 223 nt
Organism: Pelobates cultripes (western spadefoot toad)
Lineage: Eukaryota; Metazoa; Chordata; Amphibia; Anura; Pelobatidae
Source: the annotation of a GenBank genome assembly